This 12338-nucleotide long non-coding RNA is filed under the name Brassica rapa (field mustard). Its description in RNAcentral is "long non-coding RNA (BRAP_LNC005300)". The record is from RNAcentral. Lineage: Eukaryota; Viridiplantae; Streptophyta; Magnoliopsida; Brassicales; Brassicaceae.
AUCAAGGGACGUUUUCAUCAUCAUCAUCAACAAAAGGAAAGUAGAUACCUUUAAUAGCUUUUGACGAAUCAAAGUCACUCACGUAGAGAGAAAAGUAUACCUUGAUGAAAACAUUCUCAGCAGCUUUCUCCUCUUCGCUGAGAACUUUUCCGUUAGAGAACCUGCGAGACACAAAUCUGAAAGCGCUUCUGCUUGCCAUGGUAAUGAGCAACUAUCUUCCUGUGUAUGAUAAAACAUUAUAUAGAUUAAGCACAAUGAGCUCAAAACCGUUACAAACGAAAGAAACAAGAAUCGUAGUAUACUCAAUGCGGCAAAUCUGAGAAUCAAAGACCUAAACGAUGAUAAUAGCAAAAUGGAAUCAGAGAAGCAAAUCCAGAUAAACGAAAACAAUAUCUCAACAGCCAUCCUUAUACGACCUCGGAAACGAGAAAUGGAGGAAUCUAACAGGAGAAGAUGAUCGGAAGGGAAGAGAACCUGGUUGAUGGUCAGGUAGAUCGUUAAAGUGACGUCUGGCUGCUGAUGAAAACCGCUUACACAAAUGAAGAAGAGGUGAGGAAGCUCAAGGAGAGAGAGAUCUACAACAAGUUGAGUGGGCUAAAAGUUAUAAUUAGUGGGCCCGAAUAUAUUGUUAGUAUGGGCCUUAAAUAUACGGAAACAUCUGUCACAAAACCUACUAGACAUUGAUAUUUUAUAUAUUGAUAUUUGUUUUUCAUGUUAUAUAUUUUAGAUGAAUCAUAAUAUAACUAAUUAUAUUCAAAAGACCUAAACCAAAUAGGUAUAAAUAUCUGAAUCCGUUCAGAUACAUUUGUUAUUUAUAUAUUUUUAGAUUCAUAUACAUCAUAACCGAAUUCAUCCAUAUCAAGAAUGAAUCAACUCAAAAUUCACACAUAAAUUUAUAAUAUUAAAGUAGGUUCUAAUUUCAAAAAAAAAAAGAUACCCAAAAAGAAUAACAUGUACUUAAAUGUAUAGUCAAUGUUCAUGCCUAACUAGUUUUAUAAAUUAAUAAAAAGAGCUUUUUCUAUGUGUUUGGAUAAAUUAAAUGAAAUAUAUAUAGUUUUUUAUUUAGUAAUAUAAUUAUAUGGAUUGAAAAAUUAAUUGACAAUAAAUGCAAUGCAUUUUUAUUUUUAUUUAUUUAAGUUAUUAUUUUAUUGACAAAAACAUGUAUCUGAAUUAUGUUUUUGGCUAUAUAAUUUUCUACCGAUUGAAACUAAAAUUAAAAAAAAAAUUAGUAAAACAAACUAAACCGAACGUAGAAAUUUAUAUGGAUAUACUAUUGUACGUAAUUUUAUCCAUUAAGUAACAAUUUGAUUCCAGAAACUCCUAGAUGUAAAAAAAUUUGUAUUAUUAUAAUAUCUGUCAUUUCUGGAAUGAAUCUCUCAUUUAAGCGAAGGGAAAAAUAAUGAAUCUGAAUCUCUCGUGCUUCACCAGAAAGCAGUUUUGAUUGUUUCCCAAAUUAGUUAUUACCCAUAUGCACUUGCUUGAAGAUGAUUCAACCUCAAAAACAAUUUUUGAAUUAUUUACUAAAACAUAGGUGAAAAUUUUAACUAAUCCAGUAAAUCUUUUGGUUCAACUUUUAGACUGUAAAACUCUUCCUCUUAUAAUAUAUAUCCUUUUUAAUGCUUUUGUAAAACUAAAUAUAUAUGAUUUCAUAUUUUUGUUUUUUUUUUGAAAACAGGCCUAUGAUUUGAUAUUUUGUUUCAUUUAUAUAUUGGUUUAUAUAGUUUUCAAGAUUAACAUUAUAAUUAAAUUUGGUUUAUAAUUGGAUAACUAAAACAAAUAAAUGUGGUAAAUACAAUGAGUAUAUAAAAAAUCACUAUAAGUAAAACCGUGGUUAAUCAUAACCACGACAAAUCUGUGAUAAAACAGGUCAGUGACUAGAUAUAAUCAUUAUUAUUUAUAGACAAAUUGUGGCAAUAGUAACUACAAUUAAACAAUGAAGAACAGUGGCUACUAUAGCCAUAAUAUAAGAGUGAUAAAUUGUGCCACGUAAAUUUGGCUGCUACGUGACCACUGACUAGAUGUUGUUACUGCAUAGCUAAAUGUAGUUACAAUAUAAAUGUUUACACAGUUUUUGAUAGCCACAAAGCUAUAACUACAAUUUUUUUUGUUUGAAACCGUAGCUACUUUCCAUAUAACCAUGAUUUUCGGCUUUGUAGCCACAAUUUUAUCGGAGCCAUAGAAGACAUUUUUACUAGUGAACCAGACACUUAUAUUUAUGCAAAGAAAUGCAAACCCAAGGCGAGUUAUGGCAUGUUUCAACGACUAGACCACAACACAUGUUAUGUAUUAUGUAUUAUGUCAAGUCAUAUCAAUAUCCAUAUCAAUUGACUUGUGCUGAUAAAUAUGUAUGUAUAUAUAUAAUCAACAAUUGCUUUUCCCAGAAGUUUCAGCCACGGUUGACAGUACUCCCAUAUUUUACUGUCUCCUCCACAUUACAAGAAGCCUUCCGUUGCAAGCACUCAUCUUUCCACAUGAAACAUCUUUAUUCUGUCUUUUCCUUUUCUAAAGAAAAAAGAAAAAUUAUUAUUACCUGUUAUUUUCAGUUUGAUCUUCAUGAAACCCAAGUGCAAAUUACAAUAUCCUUCUUCUGUUUUGCCUUCAACUACACACCUAACAUUUAUUUUCUAAUCUCGACCCAAUCCAUACAUGUGCCAGCUUUAUCUAUACAUAUCUUUGUCUUAUCUAUGGAUUGGGAACCAAACAGUGAGAAUAACAUUUUAGCUACCUAUAUCAAAUAUACCAAACUCAAGAAAAUUGUUAAUUACCAAUUGAAAAGAAACAUCUUAACCUACUAGAGCUUUAGCCCCACAUGGUAUUCCUUUCUUUUCUUUGAACCAAGUUAAUGUUAAAUUCAUAUUAAAAUUAAUUUCUUUGACCUCUUAAGUAGUCUAAGUUAGAUGUUUAAUCGUUAAUGGGGUGUUGGCCACGUGGGCCAUUUGGUCAUUUGACAUUCGAAACACCAUUAACAAGCUAAAGAAACAGAAGCAACAUAUUAAUGAAUUGUGAUAGGCUCUUAAGGCCAAGUCUUGGGUUAUAUAACAAGGCAUCUUCUUUACAGAAGGAGAGAAGAAAGAUCUGGAGGAACAAUGACAACAACAAGACAGAUGUUGGAGCAGCCACAAUCACCAUUUAUUCAACGUACCAUAAGCAUCAAUGGAAGUCCCAUGGUAGAUGACAGAGAGGAGGAGCUUUCACGCUCUGCUUUAGCUUUGUAUAAGGAAAAAGAAGAUGAGAUUGAAAGGAGGAAGAUGGAGGUCAGGGAUAGGGUCCAGAAAAAGCUUGGACUAGCUGAGGAAGCUACUAGGAGAUUAGCCGAGAUUCGGGAAGUAAGUUUUUUGGUUUAAACAUUUUCAAGAACUUUGAAAAAUCAUAUUUAGAGAGUUGUGGUUGUACAAAUUUUCAGGAGCUGGAAGCUCUUACCGAUCCAAUGCGUAAGGAGGUUUCCGCGAUAAGGAAAAGAGUCGAUGCUAUUAACCGAGAACUCAAGCCAUUAGGACAGAGUUGUCAAAGAAAGGUAAUGAAUGAAUGGGUGAAUGUCCAUUAAUCUUAUCUUUCUUGAAGAUUCCUGUCUGAAUGAUAUUUUUUCUUUGACAGGAGAGGGAAUUCAAAGAAGCACUUGAAGCAUACAAUGAAAAGAACAAAGAGAAAGCUAUGUUUGUUAGCAAGCUAGUUGAGGUGAAACAUUCUGUCUCAAUUUUUUUUUGUAUUUUCUGUUUAUUAUUACGAUUGUUGUUUUUCUGAUUCUUUUUUUUUUGGGUGUGAAAUGUGUUCAGCUUGUUACUGAAAGCGAGAAACUGCGAAUGACAAAGCUUGAUGAACUCAGCAAAAGCAUUGACGUUUCCUUACGCUAACACAAGAUGAUCAGCCAGCUUUGCAUAUUUCUUUUGCACUUUUUUUUUAAUUGUUUGAUAUUUGCUUUUCUUUGUGAUCAAAUCUGAUUUCCUGAUUUAGUUCUUCAGUAUGAAUUCACAUUCUUAUGUUUUCAUGUGUUGUGACAAUGUUCCAAAAAAAUUAGGCUCUUUUAUUCCUCUGGCCUUUCAAGUUUGUAACCGGUCUAUAAAAGCAAAUUACCUCUCAGGCUAUCUAUCUAUACUAUUAUUUGCGAAUUAAAUUUUUAGAAUCGAGCUCUCACGUUAAAAGUUAGAGUGGUUUAUACCUUAAUGAAUAAAAACAUAUAAAUAAAUUAAAAAAUAAAAACGAAAUUUUAAUUGAUUUGAUUAGAUAAUUGAUUAAUAUUAAUAAUAGUAAGAAUUAUCUAAAAUCUGAAAAUAUAAUUUAAAAAAAAGAUAAUUUAUGUAUAUAUUGUAUUAUUAUCUGAAAAAGUCUUUUAGUAAAAAGUUAAAAACAUAAACUAUAUAACUAAAUAUUAAUCAAAUACAAUUCUUAAUUUUAUAAUUAAAAAUAGAAUAUGAAUUAUCCAAAAUCUAAAAAUAUAAUUAAAAAAAAAGAUAUUUAUAUAUAUAUAAGUCUCUCUCUCUCUCAACUAAAUAUCUGCAGAAUUCUCUACUUGAAGAGAGAUUAUGCCAAGAAUGUAUGGAGCGAGCUCUCAUGGACAGACAAGAUAAAGAAGUGAGACAAACAAGUAUACACAACUUCACUGUGUCUUUAAAGAAGUGAGACAAUACACACAGUUUUUAUCCUAGAUUCGUUGGAAACUACAAGAAGCGAAAAUUAGUACCAAAAUGGAGUUAUUCUCACAACAGGAGAUAUGAAGCCAAGAACACAUAUCUCAUGAUAUAUGAAUCUUAAUAGGAGUCUGUCUCUAUGCAGAUACUUUAUAACAAGAAAGGGAAUAAGCAUACAGACGGUUAACACAUCCUUCACUUGAGUCAAAAACAAGGCCAAGGCACAUAAAUUGGUAGAAAUUGAAAAAAAAAAAUGAAAAAAAAAGUCUCUCCCGUGCAGACAGUCUUAUUUUUCUAAAAUUGAAAAGAGUAAGUAGUAUCCGGGAGAGGUUAUAUCAUACAUUCCUUACAAUAACAAUGUUCGAAAUCACCAUUUGGAUUGAUAAGAUAAGAAACCCAACUAAAUGGAAGUAAUAACAUCUGCCAAAACUUGUAAGAGGGUUCCAUCAAACAUAUGGUUCUUGAAAAAAUCAAACAAAGAGGAAAAAGCCCAUCCAUCUACUACUUCAGGUGCUGCCUCUUAGAUGGGACUGACAUAGUUAGCAAAUCUACCUGUCAGUUGAAGAUGCAAACUCGUUAAUUUCGGGAAUCUAAAUAAGCUCAGACACAUCUGUUGUGUUAUCUAAAUCCAAACACAACCAGUCGGAAGCAGGUUUUGGUAGUAAGUAUUACUUACCUUCAUAAGAAGUGAGGUCAGAAGGGAGUUUCGAAACGAGGCAAGCGGCAGCGACAACGCUGUGAAACGGUUGAUGGGUGCUCAGUUCCCGCCGCAGAAACCUUUUUUUGCAGAUUCAAUUACCAAAAGUCCAAAACUUUAUCAAUGUAUUUAGAUAAAUUGGUAAGGCAAAUUGUUAUUUUACCUGGGAAGAGAAGAAGCUUCGAUUCGAGUCUGACGAAGAGGCGACGAUGUGGAGGAGUUCGGGUUAGGGACUGAGAUUCUCGGUCUAGGUGAGAUUAGACUUCUUCUUGAAGCGGUCCGUAAGAUGGAGCGUAGAGAGGUAGACGACCUAGAAGCGAUGCUCGUCGCAGCCAUUUUCUCUUCUUCUUCUUCUUCUGCUUCUGCAAGUAUCGGUAAACCCUCCUCAUUAGUGGUUGGGUUGCCGGUUCGCUAAACCGGACUACUGUAAGUCGGUUUGCGGACAAAUUCGUUCGAGAGAGAUUAUACAGGUCAAAUUUAAAAAAUGAUAUCAAAUUUAAAGUAAAAUUGAGAAUUCGGCCAAAAAAAACACGAAUUUUGAAAGAAUUAUCAAAAGAAACAUGAACUUCUGAGCUGACCAAAAAAUGGGUUCAAAAGUUCGUCUACUUAACAAUAUCUUAACUGUGGGUUCACGGUGUGCUAAAAUCGUCAGUCAAUCUUAAAUUGCUUAAUAAACUAAAAAAGUCAAAAAAGUACAAUAUUUUUUAACUAGAUUCGAAUACAGAUUGUUUUUGGCGAUUCGGAUAAAGUUCGUGUUUUUUUUAUCAAAUUCUCCUUAUAAUUCUUCGCUGUUUAAAAAAAAGUUAGAGUUCCCCUUAACUAAUCUUGAACAAAUUGUUAAAAUUUGAUUUCAGUUUAGAUUUUUCUUUUCCAAAUUAAUUCAUUUUUAUAAUUAUGGUUUGUGAUGGAUGCAAACGAGGCAAGAAAUUUUUAUUGCAGUAACUGAAAUUGAAUAGAAAAAAAUGGAAGCUUUUCCAAUAUUCACAAUUACAAGAAGACAAUUAAGAUAAAGGUAAACAGGAUUAGCUAAAGUAGCAUUCCCAAGAUCAGUUUUAGAUUCUUCUUCGGUUAUCGACUCUGGUUCUCUUCAAGUCAGGUUCUGUUUGAAGAUUCUCGCUGCUUGCUUCUGACCUCUUCUGCUUACCACUUUCUUCAAUCUUUACAAAAUGUCACACGCCAAACGACGAAAUGUUUUAGAUUAGUCAAGGAGAGUCUUAAGAGUUCACUUAUAAGUACAAAACUUGGGAAGAUUCGUUUACCUUGUUGAGUUUCUCCCUCACAGUUUUAACAGUUUGAUUCAUUGAAGAUGACCCAAAAUACUCCUACACAAUCACAGUUUAAACUCUUUUAAUCACUUCUCUUUGUUAAAAAAAAUGAAACCAACAAGAGCCUUAGAUAUAUAUCUUCAAAGUUCAAUGACACAAACGUCGAUAUUGUUUCAAAUGAGCACAUACCUGGUCAGAUGAAACUCGAGUAAUAGGAGCGUUUCUUCUAUGGAAUUGGUAAUCCGUCUCGCUUUGGUUCAAAGCCGGUUUUGCGACUUGUGAGACGCUGCUCUUGUCUCUCUGGGCUGUUCACAACAUGAAACAUAUAAUAGACUUGUCAAUCGUCUAAACAGUUUAUUAUAACACAAACACACACUUUACUUACGGUUUGAUCUUGAAAGCACUUCUUUCCUCCUAGUUUCCAACUUAUCCUUGGUGUCACUGAGGGUCUCGAACUCAGGAGCAUACGAAAUCUGGAGCCGAUUCCCCAAGAAAACUGAGUCAUCCAACUUCCUCUUUGCAAAUCUAUCAAACAUUAAACAUACCUUUAGCCACCAAACGAACUAUUCAUCUUGGAACCAAAAGUAGAGAAACAUAAAAUUUCAGACAGCUUUAGCCUCAGAACAAAAAGGGAAUUUGAAGAUCAAAAGAGAAAAAGGAAGCAAAACCUUGCAUUGGCGAUGAGACGGAACUUGAUCCAAUAGACAUCAGUAAACUCCUCACAGUCUUCUGCAUCCAUUGGUUUACAUCUAACUCAAAAACCAAAAUAUCAGAAACUGAAAGUAACAAUUAAAAAAAAAAAAAAAAGAGGGAAAGAGCAGAGUUACUCACUCUUCAACCUCUCCGUAAGUAGCGAACAAUCUCAUCAGAUCGUCACCACAGCCUAAAGCCGGUACCUUUCGUACUACCAAGUAUCUAAAACCAACCAACCAAAAUAAAAAGAUUCAAACUUUGAAGAAACAAAAUUCGAUUAGUGUAAGUUACCUUGAUUCAUCGCAGACUGUAUAAACCCUAACAGCCGGUGGAAUCUCUUUGGUUCGACCCAUCUUUUCUUCUGCUAUUCCGAAGAGAAUUUUUGAUCAGAACCCUAACAACAGACGCCCAAAAAAACAAGUCUAUUCCGUAUAUCUCGAACAAAGCAAACAAUGAGAGUUUCACCGGCGAGAAUACGAAGCAGUCAAAAUCGAGAAAGAUGAACGCUGCCUAAUAGGGGUGGGCACUUUGGCCAAUAUCCGAAGCUGCACCAGAACCCGAUUCAAAAAAUCCCGACUAAAAUCUGAACCGAAGUAGCAAAAUAUCAGAACUGAUAUUGAAUUAGAAAAGAUUGGAUAUCUGAAUCCGAACAAGUAAUAUCCGAACUCAAAUGGAUAUCUGAAGAUAACCGAACAUAUGUAUAAUUAAUCUUAUAUUUCUAGUUCAUAUUUCUUAUUUUAUAUAAAAUAUUUAUAUUGAUACUACACAUACUUUAAGUUCAUAUGAUAUAUAUACAAUUUACGGAGAAAAUAAUUUACUACUCACUUAAAAUGUAUGUGAAACUUUUUAUUUCAAAAAUUAACAAAAAGUUACGUCAAAAAAAUUUAAAACAAUAACCAAAUUAAUGCUUUUUUAGUUUCAAAAUAUUAUGUAUAAAUCUAUUAAUCAUUCAAUCUAUUAAAAAUAAAAAAAAUUAGUUAAGUGAAAGUUAUAUUUUUAAAUACAAAAAAAAAUUGAGAAAUGAAAAAUUUAAUAUAUUUUUUUCAAAAUCUAAAUAUCCGAACUCGAUCCGAAAUAACCGAAUUGGAACUAAAAAUACACGAAUCAGACUCGAAGUUCAAACAUACUCGAACAAGUUCUACAUUUCUAUACUAAAAUACCCAAAAAUCCGAAGUACCUGAUAUGAAUCCGAACACCCACUCCUACUGCCUAAUCUCAGGUUUAGUCAAAGGACGUAGUUUUCUCAGGACUGAAAAGAAAAAGAAAAAAAAAGACGAAUAAUCCAAUCAAUUACCGGUUAAAUAGUUGAACCGGGUCUAGUAUUUAAAAUUUCACUGAAUUGAACCGAACCAGUCUUCUAUUACAGUGGUUUUGGGGUUUUUGCAGAAGCUAAAGAAAAUGGCUGCAGCUAGGUCUGUGUUUAUGUCUUCCAUCUUCAGAAUCGCAACCGCUCGAAGCUUGAUCUCACCCAAAGCUAGAGUCUCCUCCACAAACACUUUUUCAUCUCUUCUCCAGACUGCAAUCGAAGUUUCCACUCCGAGGUAAUUUUCGAUUCUUUUUCGCCUGAAUUGAAUCUGCUGGAUUUAUCUGACGCAAAGUUUCAAUCUUUGAUACGUACCCACCCAGAAGCUUCCAUAGCCUCAUUGCUUCCACACGCAUCUCUGUUUCUCUGUCUCAAACCGAUGCUCAUUUCUCAACGACAGUCCCCACGCGUUCACUCAGAAGAAGAAUCAGCAAAAGAAACAAUCCAAAACCCGUUCUUGACCAAUCCAAGUUUCAAGAAACGGUUUCGAAACUCCCACCAAGAUUCACUCCCGAAGAGCUCGCCGAUGCUAUAACCCUCCAAGAAGACCCGUUAGUGUGUUUCCACCUCUUCAACUGGGCCUCUCAGCAGCCCAGGUUCAAACACGAGAGCUGCACUUACCACACCGCCAUCAGGAAGCUCGGAGCCGCCAAAAUGUACAAAGAAAUGGACGACGUCGUCAACCAGGUGCUCUCCGUUCGCCACGUGGGCAACGAAAACCUCUACAACUCGAUCUUGUACUAUUUCACCAAAGCGGGGAAGCUGAUCCGCGCGGUGAAUAUAUUCAGACACAUGGCGAAUAGCAAGAACCUGGAGUGUAGGCCCACCAUCAGAGCGUAUCAUAUCCUCUUCAAGGCCUUGUUGGGCCAAGGCAACAACUCUUACACGAGCCAUAUGUAUAUGGAGACGAUACGGUCUUUGUUCAGACAGAUGGUGGAUAGCGGGAUCGAGCCGGACGUGUUCGCUCUCAACUGUUUGGUUAAAGGCUACGUGCUCUCGCUCCACGUCAACGAUGCUCUUAGGAUAUUUCAUCAGAUGGGUGUGGUUUAUAACUGCCAGCCGAACUCGUUUACUUAUGAUUAUCUGAUACAUGGGCUGUGUGCUCAGGGGAGGACCGUUAACGCUAGAGAGCUGCUUGGUGAGAUGAAAGGGAAAGGUUUUGUUCCGAAUGGGAAAUCUUAUAACUCUCUUGUUAGUGCUCUUGCGCUCAGCGGUGAGGUUGAUGAUGCGGUGAGUUGUUUGUGGGAGAUGGUUGAGAGUGGGCGUGUGGUUGAUUUGAUUACGUUUAGGACACUUGUUGCUGAGAGCUGCAGGAAAGGGAAGUACGAUGAAGCGAGGAGAUUGUUGGGUACGUUGAGAGAGAAGAAGCUUGUGGACAGAGAUUCUUAUGACAAGCUUAUGAAUGUUCUUCGAAAGGAUUUGUAGAUGUGUUUCUAGUUUGUUGUUAUAUCGAAAAAUGUUUGGUGAAAUUUAUUUAUUUCUUUAUGCACCAUCCUGAGACCUGCUUCCAAAUCCUCGAGCCUUUCUUUGUUACUGACCAUUGACUUCACCGAUGCGAUCUGAGUUAUAAGACCAUCUGUUAAUUUAUUUUUAUUUUUUGCUGAAUGAUGUUAAUUAGAUGAUGCGACCAUUUGGGGUGGGGCAGAACUGUUAAACCAAAACAGAAUUAUAAAUUCAAGAGCAGAAAUAUAUUUUAUGCUCGUUAGAAGUUAAAACUUAUCUACUUUUGUCUUUUUUCUCAUUCUAACAAUCAGCUUGUUUCUUUAAUGAAAAAAACAAUUAUAUAGAGUUUACGUUUAACAGUUUAUGCAAGUUUAGGUGUUUACACUACUUUGUUUUCCUUUUUGACAGUAGUAAGAAACAAACAAACAAAAAACAAAAAUUGAAAAAUGCAUGCGUCACCUCUCAGCCUCGGGAGCAUUAGCUCUCCUCUCGGCCUCUGAUCUUGAAGAAAGGGCUACACUGCCAAUCGUAGGAAAAACCUCUGGUGGAGAAUCAUAUAAUUUACGUUGUACCAACCAGUACGGCAUAUCAAAAGAAGAAAACGUACACCAAAAGGAAACACGUGAUCAUGAAGGUGGUUCAAGAUGUAUAUUAAAGCAACUACUCUAUAACUCUAUUGUAGGUUGCAAUCAGCAAAUGACAGAGAGCAAAGGAAUUUUAAAAUACAAAGCAAGAAUAGUAUUUAAUCUCCUUUUCAAAAAAAAAAGUAUUUAGUCUGUUCUACUUUACGUACCAAAUAACUAAAAUAGCGAGUCCCAAAAAGAUAACCCAAGACAAGAUUUUUAGCCACAUUGGUAGCGGCCGUACACCCCGUGGGUCAGGGCCAUGUCCAUGAGGGCAACGUCUAGCCUCGGCUCCACACUGGUAGCAAAAUUCAUGACCACAUCUAACGAAUGCAAUAAAGGUUAAUCAGAUUUUAAACAUUAAACAAAUUCGAGAGGGAAGUGUGAUUAUAUAGAGAUGAUACCUGCACUUUAUGCGGAUGCAGCCUUGAGAAAGUUCAAUCAUGUGUUGACACUUCCCGCAUUGACGCCACAUCUUCUCGUCUGCUAGAGCUUUUAGCUUUCCAUCGUUUUCUGUAGGAUUUGGAUGCAACCUCUUGUAAUGGUCGCACAACAUAUUAUUAUGCCACGGAACUUUACAUCUGCUGCAAAAGGGUUCACCGCAUUUACCGCAGCAUCUAACUCCAGCUUCUUUAGUAGAUUUCCAGAGCUCCUUCUCCGACAUUAAAGCAGAACACCUAGGGUUCGGGCAAUAGAAUCUCUCCGAUACAGGAAUUGAAUCCUCUUUAAUCCUUUGUAACCAUAUGGCUUGUAGUUCAGGAGUCAAAAGAUAAGCACAGCGUGUAAAAGUCAACUUAGACUUGCAGCGAUGCUGAGGACAUCUCACAAAACCUUGCUCCAGUAGCUUUACUUCUAUAUGUCGUUUCACACACUCGGAACAAAACCAAUGACCGCAUUUAUCAACAGAAAACAUCUGAUCAGCAUUGAUAUCUUCAUCUAAACAUAUAGCGCAAGUCGUUUUCUGAGUGUCCACUUGUAUCCUUGUUUCACAAACUACUGUUUCUCUAGCUAGUUCAUAAGCAUAUCUGAUAUUUUGGGGGGCCACAAAAAUAGGAAAGCUCGAUGCAAAUUUUCUUCUGAUGUGCUGCACUUCAUUCAGUAGCAUGCCAGACAAACUUUCCUCUAGCACGGAUCUUCCCGUAAUCUACACAAAUAAAAUCUAAUUAAUAUUAAUAUUUUACCAAAAAAAAAAAACAAAUCUAAUUAAUAUUACAGUUCAUAAACUAGUAAUGCAACAUUAGUAAUGAUCCUUGUUCGAAAACUCGGCCGCCUAGCCGAUUAAUCGGCCGAGUAAUCGUAAGCCGUGUGCUCACCGUAGCGAGUUGAAGCAAUUCGGUUGGUUUCUACAGUAAACCGAGUUAUACCCGCGGAGACCGUAUUUUAAGCGCGGAAUUUCAAAUCGUUGGAAAAAAAAUCGGUCAUAUUAACUUAGUAUAAUUUGGCCCAAUAUUAAAGGCCCACUAGUAAUAAAAAAGUGAAAUCUUCACCUAUCUUUCUCUUUCCCGACAACAGAACUGGCAAUCUUUGUUAACCCUAGUUUCCAUUGCUCUUCCUCAAUUCAAGUGAAUCCAAAACAGAUAACGUGAAUCAAAUUCGUUCAUCGAUUGAAAAUCCUUAUUGUACCCAAUUCAAGGUAAUAAACACUAAAUCAUUCAUUGUUUAAUUUAUUAAAUCUUCUUUUCAAAUUGU